CGAACGGGUGAGUAACACGUGGGUUACCUGCCCCGAUGAUUGGGACAACCCGAGGAAACUCGGGCUAAUACCAAAUGUGCUCCUGGCCGUAAUGGCCUUGAGGAAAGGAAGCUUCGGCCUCCGCAUCGGGAUGGGCCCGCGGCCCAUUAGCUAGUUGGUGGGGUAAAGGCCUACCAAGGCGACGAUGGGUAGCUGGUCUGAGAGGAUGAUCAGCCACACUGGAACUGAAACACGGUCCAG
RNAcentral lists this ribosomal RNA (240 nucleotides) under uncultured bacterium. RNAcentral describes it as "partial 16S ribosomal RNA". It matches the Rfam family "Bacterial small subunit ribosomal RNA", at positions 99 to 334 of the family's 1533-position model. The record is from RNAcentral.